GACGAACGCUGGCGGCGCGCUUAACACAUGCAAGUCGAGCGAUGAAAUUUUGACAGAUCCCUUCGGGGUGAAGACAAAAUGGAUAGCGGCGGACGGGUGAGUAACGCGUGAGCAACCUGCCUAUGACAGUGGGAUAGCCUCGGGAAACCGGGAUUAAUACCGCAUAAAAUCGUAGAAACACAUGUUUUAACGGUCAAAGAUUUAUCGGUCAUAGAUGGGCUCGCGUCUGAUUAGCUAGUUGGUGAGAUAACAGCCCACCAAGGCGACGAUCAGUAGCCGGUCUGAGAGGAUGAACGGCCACAUUGGAACUGAGACACGGUCCAAACUCCUACGGGAGGCAGCAGUGGGGAAUAUUGCACAAUGGGGGAAACCCUGAUGCAGCGACGCCGCGUGAACGAAGAAGGUAUUCGUAUCGUAAAGUUCUGUCCUAUGGGAAGAUAAUGACAGUACCAUAGAAGAAAGCUCCGGCUAAAUACGUGCCAGCAGCCGCGGUAAUACGUAUGGAGCGAGCGUUGUCCGGAAUUAUUGGGCGUAAAGGGUACGCAGGCGGUUUAAUAAGUCGAAUGUUAAAGAUCGGGGCUCAACCCCGUAAAGCAUUGGAAACUGAUAAACUUGAGUAGUGGAGAGGAAAGUGGAAUUCCUAGUGUAGUGGUGAAAUACGUAGAUAUUAGGAGGAAUACCAGUAGCGAAGGCGACUUUCUGGACUUUUACUGACGCUCAGGUACGAAAGCGUGGGGAGCAAACAGG
Molecule: ribosomal RNA, 747 nt
Filed under: uncultured Finegoldia sp.
Lineage: Bacteria; Bacillati; Bacillota; Tissierellia; Tissierellales; Peptoniphilaceae
Description: bacterial SSU rRNA
Rfam family: Bacterial small subunit ribosomal RNA
Source: RNAcentral